Molecule: long non-coding RNA, 774 nt
Organism: Populus trichocarpa (black cottonwood)
Lineage: Eukaryota; Viridiplantae; Streptophyta; Magnoliopsida; Malpighiales; Salicaceae
Exons: 3
Source: RefSeq, a predicted model, not a curated record
ACAUGACAAAGUUCUGUGAAAAAAGGCAAAGUAGUCAGUAGUAGAGUAUGUUAGUUUUUAAAUAGAUACAGAACAACUGCAUCUUCUUUUCCCCUUUGUAAUCAUCACAUGAAAUCAUAUAGAAAUGAACUCAGUGGCACUACAAUCUAUUCAAUUUCCUGAUUUAUAUCUCUGCUAAGAUUUUGUUGAACAUCAUGUUAUCAAAUUGAAGAAAACAACAGAAAUUAAUAAUGGGGGAACUUAAAAACUUCAUCAUCUUCACUUUUCAAGACCUUAUGUCCAGACCUUUUGCAUCAAAUCACAUAAUCUUCUAAAUUCAAGACUCUGGAUACAGUUAAGGUUUAGUCUAGGCAUUGGCACUUUUUGAACAAACUAAGUUCUUUUUACAUUGAAAGUUAUCUCACUGCCACCGCAGUCAAGAACAAACAAUGACUGUCUUUGGUCAAGUGGAUAACAAUCCAAUCAUCAUCUAAGAGGUAACAAUACACUAAAGCCAGCCAAUCAUCUUGUGACAUAACAGACCAACAGGCCAAAGGAAGGGAUUCCUGCAUGUACCCAGCAUUCAUAGCUGUCAUUGAUUAAAACAUCAAGCACACAUAUCUGCAAAGCCCUUGCAUACCUAACAGACGUUCCAGGUGGAUACAUGUCCAGAACAAGCUUUGUCCAAGAUGUAACAUUACUUCCUGGAAUAUUUCUUUCUGACUGACUUCCUUCCACAGUAAUAACCAAGCUUCCAUUUUUGCUUGAAGCAGGCUGUCUUUGCUUAAACAUUAU